Molecule: regulatory RNA element, 53 nt
Organism: Sphingomonas sp. Leaf343
Lineage: Bacteria; Pseudomonadati; Pseudomonadota; Alphaproteobacteria; Sphingomonadales; Sphingomonadaceae
Rfam family: serC leader
About the family: This family is a putative regulatory RNA structure that is found upstream of the serC-serA operon in some alpha-proteobacteria. The final stem of the structure overlaps the ribosome binding site of the serC reading frame.
Source: Rfam
CGGCGGGCCACGCCGCCCCAACGCGGCGCGUGCUCUCUGUGAGGAGAGAUACA